This 735-nucleotide long non-coding RNA is filed under the name Pongo abelii (Sumatran orangutan). RNAcentral's name for it is "lincRNA". The record is from RNAcentral. Lineage: Eukaryota; Metazoa; Chordata; Mammalia; Primates; Hominidae.
AGGUGUGGAUUAAUGAGUACGAUCACUCCAAGCCCAUCCAGGGGCAGCAGAAGAAGCCCUUUGAGGAGCACUGGAGGAAGCACACCCUGUCCUAUGUGGACGUCAGCACUGGGAAGCAGAUGGUUUACUAGGUGAGUGUGUCCUCGAUUAUUUAAAUCAGGGGUCCCCAAUCCCCAGGCCACAGAUUGUUACCAGUCCAUGGCCUGUUAGGAACCAGGCCACACAGUAGGAGUGCACAGCCAGAGAACAACACAUCACACACAGGAAACAGUUGUGCUCAUGUGAUGGGGGCCUCAGCACUAGGAAGGAGUGGACUAUUGGCGCAUGUAGCAGCUUGAAUAAAUCUGAAAGUCACUACACUGCGUAAGAGAAGCCAAAUAAAAAAGUUCAUGCUGUGUACAGAGGGUGUUGAGAAUGCCUCCUACGUGACGGAAAGCAGAUCCGUGGUUCCCUGCAGACCGGCAGGAGCAGAUUCCAAAGGCACAGGAAGAAGCUUGCAGUACAAAGAUAAAAAUCUAAAGUGGUUGCUGUGGAGGACAGGGGUCAGUGGUGGAAGUGAGACUGAAAUGGACUCUGAAGUAAUAUCUGGACUUUGAAAUUGCAGCUGCUCCCAACCCCAGCAACUUUGCUAUCUUAGAACGGAUCACCAGUGAAAGAGGGGAAGUUGCUACUGUGAUGAAUUCUGCCAUGUGGUACCAGACUGCUGCCCAGACCACAGUGUCCUCUGCAACCCUG